This 73-nucleotide transfer RNA is filed under the name Hadesarchaea archaeon DG-33-1. RNAcentral's name for it is "tRNA-Met". It matches the Rfam family "tRNA". From Rfam's summary of the family: Transfer RNA (tRNA) molecules are approximately 80 nucleotides in length. Their secondary structure includes four short double-helical elements and three loops (D, anti-codon, and T loops). Further hydrogen bonds mediate the characteristic L-shaped molecular structure. tRNAs have two regions of fundamental functional importance: the anti-codon, which is responsible for specific mRNA codon recognition, and the 3' end, to which the tRNAs corresponding amino acid is attached (by aminoacyl-tRNA synthetases). tRNAs cope with the degeneracy of the genetic code in two manners: having more than one tRNA (with a specific anti-codon) for a particular amino acid; and 'wobble' base-pairing, i.e. permitting non-standard base-pairing at the 3rd anti-codon position. The record is from RNAcentral. Lineage: Archaea; Methanobacteriati; Hadarchaeota (SeqCode); Hadarchaeia (SeqCode).
GCCGGGGUAGCUCAGGUGGUUCGAGCGUGGGACUCAUAAUCCCAAGGUCGGGGUUCAACUCCCCGCCCCGGCA